RNAcentral lists this ribosomal RNA (442 nucleotides) under uncultured bacterium. Its description in RNAcentral is "bacterial SSU rRNA". It matches the Rfam family "Bacterial small subunit ribosomal RNA", at positions 29 to 506 of the family's 1533-position model. The record is from RNAcentral.
ACGAACGCUGGCGGCACGCCUAACACAUGCAAGUCGAACGAGGACAUUCCUUCGGGGGUGUUCCUAGUGGCGGACGGGUGAGUAACGCGUGGGUAUCUGCCUCAUGGUGGGGGAUAACUGUUGGAAACGACAGCUAAUACCGCAUAGUCCCGUAAGGGUAAAGAUUUAUUGCCAUGAGAGGAGCCCGCGUCAGAUUAGGUAGUUGGUAGGGUAACGGCCUACCAAGCCGAUGAUCUGUAACUGGUCUGAGAGGAUGACCAGUCACACUGGGACUGAGACACGGCCCAGACUCCUACGGGAGGCAGCAGUGGGGAAUCUUGGACAAUGGGGGAAACCCUGAUCCAGCGAUGCCGCGUGAAUGAAGAAGGCCUUAGGGUUGUAAAGUUCUUUCACCCGUGACGAUAAUGACGGUAACGGGAGAAGAAGCCCCGGCUAACUCCGU